This is a non-coding RNA of Peromyscus maniculatus bairdii (prairie deer mouse), 306 nucleotides long. Lineage: Eukaryota; Metazoa; Chordata; Mammalia; Rodentia; Cricetidae. The record is from RefSeq and is a predicted model, not a curated record.
GCUGAGGCGGAGAGACACUGCAGCCGCCGCCAUGACCAGCAGCAUGUGAAGACGCCGGGAGCUGAGGAAACCCUGAACGAGCAUUCUGAGAGGAUGAGUAUCUUGACAUGGCCAUCAUCCUGGUGAGGACUGCAAGGCCAAUUGACCCAUGGGAAAGUGGCAAAGCCCUUAUCCACACCGGCCAGGCUCAAGGUGUUUACAGCUGGAGACUGCUGGCCAAGAGAGACCUCCUACCAAGACAUAAUGUGAUCCUGCUGCCUUGCCGCCCCGACCAUGAUGGACUGGACCGGGGAUAUGAGCUCCAAU